Molecule: ribosomal RNA, 851 nt
Filed under: Vibrio cholerae
Lineage: Bacteria; Pseudomonadati; Pseudomonadota; Gammaproteobacteria; Vibrionales; Vibrionaceae
Description: partial 23S ribosomal RNA
Rfam family: Bacterial large subunit ribosomal RNA
Source: RNAcentral
GGUUAAGUGACUAAGCGUACACGGUGGAUGCCUGGGCAGUCAGAGGCGAUGAAGGACGUACUAACUUGCGAUAAGCGCAGAUAAGGCAGUAAGAGCCGUUUGAGUCUGCGAUUUCCGAAUGGGGAAACCCAACUGCAUAAGCAGUUACUGUUAACUGAAUACAUAGGUUAACAGAGCAAACCGGGGGAACUGAAACAUCUAAGUACCCCGAGGAGAAGAAAUCAACCGAGAUUCCGGUAGUAGCGGCGAGCGAACCUGGAUUAGCCCUUAAGCACUCGGUGAAGUAGGUGAACAAGCUGGAAAGCUUGGCGAUACAGGGUGAUAGCCCCGUAACCGACGCUUCAUCGAGCGUGAAAUCGAGUAGGGCGGGACACGUGAUAUCCUGUCUGAAUAUGGGGGGACCAUCCUCCAAGGCUAAAUACUCCUGACUGACCGAUAGUGAACCAGUACCGUGAGGGAAAGGCGAAAAGAACCCCUGUGAGGGGAGUGAAAUAGAACCUGAAACCGUGUACGUACAAGCAGUAGGAGCACCUUCGUGGUGUGACUGCGUACCUUUUGUAUAAUGGGUCAGCGACUUAUAUUCAGUGGCAAGGUUAACCGUAUAGGGGAGCCGUAGCGAAAGCGAGUCUUAACUGGGCGCUCAGUCUCUGGAUAUAGACCCGAAACCGGGUGAUCUAGCCAUGGGCAGGUUGAAGGUUGAGUAACAUCAACUGGAGGACCGAACCGACUAAUGUUGAAAAAUUAGCGGAUGACUUGUGGCUAGGGGUGAAAGGCCAAUCAAACUCGGAGAUAGCUGGUUCUCCCCGAAAGCUAUUUAGGUAGCGCCUCGGACGAAUACUACUGGGGGUAGA